GAUAAUGUUUCUUCAAAAUUUAGCUCAUGGAAAAAACAGAGUGCCAGAAAUGACAAAGAAAAGCAGUUCUCUGUGAACACGAACAAUAUAAAGUGAAAGCUGUGCGUCACAGAACUCAAAUGGCACAAAAUCUAAGAAAUAAAGCCUUUAUAUGGGUUAUAAAUCUAAUAUCAUCCAAAUACAACAGUAAAAUAAAUCAUUUACUUUAUGCAGGGGAAAAUGAAAAAGUUAAGACAAAGAACAAGAAAAGGCGUAAAAAGACUGGUAACAAGAACAAAACUAAACCAGCCUUCCUAAUUUACUUUACUGUCACUUUAUCAGUUGUAAAAAAUCAAAAACUCAGAAAAACAAUCACCCAGCAAAUACAAUGAAUGACCAUUAAUAUGAAAAUUAAAUUACAGAUCUAAAACCAAAAUAAAAAUUGAUUCUUUAAUAGGAAAAAAAAUAUUGGACGAAACAUAUCAUUUAAAACAAGAUCCCCACAACACAAAUAAGAUUAUAUGGUUUCAAAAGAAAGAGUAACUCACUAACCCCAUGAGAUUAACUCUAAGAUUGACUUUAAGCUGAACAAAUAGGUCAUAGAGCUGGCCAAGGUCAGCAGCAUUGCCAUGAGAGUACAGUAGAGUGAGUCUAGCAUAAGGGUUUUUUAAGUAAAAAGCAACGACCUUGUUGCCACGUUUGGUGUCAAUCAACAAAACAUCCAAUGAACUGUCAUCAGCGGCAAGAGGCAUAGGCAUUGAAGAAGAAGAAGAAGCUGAAACCGCAGUGAGCUUGCCAUUGUCACGUUUCUUGACCUGGUAUGUUGGUGGUGAUGGUGGGAAAAAUGCAAACUUUGCAGCUAACUCAGAAAACAUACACCCCAUUCAACAGCCCCAACAAAAUAAAAAAUCAAAAAAACAACCACAACUCAUUGAACAAACAACAAGAAGCCGCUGAAACACAUCGGGGUUUUGCGGCUUGCUUUCAUUUAAGUUGUUUCUUGGGACUGGAGAGAGAGAGAGAGAGAGAGAGACUGUGAGAGAGAGAAAGAGAGAUACUGUCUGUCCAGUGAAGUGUUGAUGGUGGAAAGAGAAAAGAACAGUAGAAAUCUCCUCUAAAGUACAGUGGCUUUUAAUGGCUUUGGUUUUCUUCCUUCACUUGGAAACAGAGUUGAGUUUGAGUGAGUUGAGUUCAUAGGUUCAGUGUUUGUGUGUGCGAGUGUGCAUGACUUCAAUUGUGUCAGUUUGCACAGGCCGGGUCGAUAUAUUUUUCCUCUCAAUCUGCCAAAUCUGCUAACUCACCAUUAUUUAAUUUGGCCAUCUUUUAUGAGUUUUAUGCUUACUCUCUUGCGUCUACAAAAUACCUCCAAACUCGCUUCAGAGUCUAUGAAACCUGUGAAGC
RNAcentral lists this long non-coding RNA (1380 nucleotides) under Citrus sinensis (sweet orange). RNAcentral describes it as "long non-coding RNA (CSIN_LNC001255)". The record is from RNAcentral. Lineage: Eukaryota; Viridiplantae; Streptophyta; Magnoliopsida; Sapindales; Rutaceae.